GAAACAGGUAAAUUUCCAUCCCUGUCACAGAAUGAAAUGAAUGACAUGAAAAAUCUCCCAAAAUCAAUUGAUUCCUUCUACUUUAUUCUUUGAAUGUUGUGUUCUUGCAUGUCAAAAUGAUGUAUGAGUAGCCACAAGUAUUACUGAAAAAACGUACUGUACACUAACAGUUAACUCAAAACAAAAUUAUUGGAAUUACACAACUUCCACAGGAUGUUUGCAAAAAUUAUUACUUGGUUUGAAUGGGGCAAACAUGUUAAUCGCCCUUAAUGGCUGACCUGGAGAUUUAAUCAUCUUAAGAGGCUCUCAUUAUUCUGGGGGGAGGGUUGUGGGGUUCAUAGUCUCAUAGAUCCUCUGCAACUGCACUACAACAUAGGCAGAUACCUAUACCUAAAUCAUUAAAUGAAGCUAGAAACAAGGUUGAGAUGCCAGGAUCAUGAGGUUAUUGGCACCAUUUUCGUCUCAUUGGGACAGAGAUAGCAUGGUGCAUGGUACGAAAGGUCAGCCAUAAAGUGACAGACUCAUGCCAUAUUCAAAAUGUGUCUUAGUUUAUCACUUGAAUGUUGUCUUUACAUGCAAUAGUGAUUCAUAUACUCGGAUUCAUAUAGUGAUUCAUACACUUGGAUGGAUUAUUGGAUAGGUAAUAUACAACUUGCAACACAAUAAGAGUUUUUUUUCUCAACAAUAUUUGUUUUACAAACAUCUACCAACAUGUCUUUUCUCAAUUAUCACCCAUGUUAUCCCAACAAUAAUUGUCAUUACUCACUCUUGUCCUUAGCUGCAACCUAAACAAGUCACUUUCACUCCCUCAAGCUACCUCUCUUGUUCUAGCACAUGGCUAAUGUAAGAAUUUCCUUUAUCAUGUACCUUGUUGGAGUUAGCUUGUUCUUUGCUGGUUAAAAGUGCAUAGAAUUUAAAGAUAUCUGUUAUAUGCUUUUUUACUGAACUCGUUAAUUAGCUCAUCGAUAAUAGUUUAGAAAUACUCUGUAUUUAUCAUCAGGCAUCAAUUCUGUGGGAACAUCUUAUUCAACCCCUUUCUCUCAGACAUAUCUCUCAGACAUAUAUGAACCCAGAUAACAAGGAAAUUUUGAAGCCAUCCUUCCAAUUAAAAAUCAAAUGACAAACUUAUAAAUUAUAAAAACGAACUCAUUAAGGAAAC
Molecule: unclassified non-coding RNA, 1159 nt
Filed under: Hevea brasiliensis (rubber tree)
Lineage: Eukaryota; Viridiplantae; Streptophyta; Magnoliopsida; Malpighiales; Euphorbiaceae
Source: RNAcentral